CCCUGUUACGGAUAAUUCAACAGGAAACCUAACUAAUAAGAAAUCCACCCAAAAAUCUCCCUGUAUGGUGAGUUUUGUUACAUAUUUUUCAACUAGGGAAAUAUAUUUAAAAAAAAACUUCUCUCUGUGUACACAGCCUCAGGUGAUGAUAUUGUUGUCACAAGUGACGGAGGAAUACUGUGGUUGACUGCUGUAGGCACAUGUGUUAUCAGACCAGGUGGGACAAGAAAAGCAUUGCCAAUGGAGUGCCAGAAGAGGGGUAAUAUGAGUCAAAUCCCAUCAAAGCAAAGGCAAAGAUUCAUGAAUGAAUUGUUGAGUUCAUCUUCUCCGAAACCCAAAAUGUGUCCUGUGAAGGGUCCUCUGCAGGAAGCUCCGCUGCCAAGACAGAAUGGUUUCUCCUGCCAUUGUUUGGUGAUGGAGUUCUGGUGAAGCGUU
This is a long non-coding RNA of Hyla sarda, 435 nucleotides long. RefSeq lists it as uncharacterized. The record is from RefSeq and is a predicted model, not a curated record. The transcript has 3 exons. NCBI's taxonomy places the organism in Eukaryota, Metazoa, Chordata, Amphibia, Anura, Hylidae.